This 576-nucleotide ribosomal RNA is filed under the name Triticum aestivum (bread wheat). Its description in RNAcentral is "partial small subunit ribosomal RNA". The record is from RNAcentral. Lineage: Eukaryota; Viridiplantae; Streptophyta; Magnoliopsida; Poales; Poaceae.
AUGACCUUUGGUCUUAGAAUGACUUGUAUGAUGGAGGCUGCAAUGUAUCGCUAUUGGUCAGAUCUUCAGCCGGAACUCCUGGGCCUUGUUCUCAAGCACCUCCCCUCCCUGUCUGACCGUGUUCGUCUAAGAGCAGUCUGUCGCACCUGGCGCUCUAAUAGUAUGUUGCAGCCGCUUCCUCUGCCAUUCCCGUGGCUCACCCUCCCAGACGGUACUUUCCUCAGCAUUCCAGGCAGUGAAAUUCACCGCAUACCUGUACCAGAAGGUGCUUGUUGCCAAGGUUCCAUUGACAACUGGCUAUUCCUCAUUGACAAUGGUAAUGUGUGCUCAUUGAUGAAUCCUUUCUCCAAGACCGCACUAGAGCUUCCUAAUCUAGUGGCUGUUUGGGAGCGUGAGAUACGUUACCACUCUGACCGUAAACCGAUUUUCUAUAAGUUGGUGGUGCCCUCUCCCCUGGACUCAUCACCUCAUUCCCCUGUCGUUGCACUAAUCAUGGACGAUGGUUGUUUCCAUACACUCUGUAUUAGCCAGCCACCGAUUGCCACUGCCUCGCUCAGAGAUAAUAAGGAUCCAUGA